UGGAGCUAGAACAGAUUUUGUGUCUAAAGAUGGUAAAACUCCACUGCAUUAUGCUGGUAAAUCUGGUAAAGUUGAAAUGCUUGAGUUUUGGAUUAGGAGAGGAGAUUAUGAUGUGAAUGUUAAAGAUAAAAGGAAAAGAACUCCUUUGUUUAAUGCUGUUAAGAGUGGUAGUG
Molecule: long non-coding RNA, 173 nt
Filed under: Amphimedon queenslandica
Lineage: Eukaryota; Metazoa; Porifera; Demospongiae; Haplosclerida; Niphatidae
Description: uncharacterized LOC109590363
Source: RNAcentral